This 26-nucleotide ribosomal RNA is filed under the name Trichoderma brevicompactum. Its description in RNAcentral is "partial 18S ribosomal RNA". Lineage: Eukaryota; Fungi; Ascomycota; Sordariomycetes; Hypocreales; Hypocreaceae. The record is from RNAcentral.
CACCGUUUGCUAAGCGGAGGACAUUA